UUGGGGUUAAUGAGAUUGUAAGGUCUGUCUGCACAAUGCAUUGCAUCAAGCCAUGAAUUAAUAAAAAAUGGGCCCUUGUUUCUCUAUGUUCUACACAAGUGGUACUAGUUGAAACACCGCCUUUUUGGUUGUGACAUAUUCAAGGACCAAAGGAACAUUAUCCAACAGUAAACAUUAAAUGUAUAAUAGAAAAGUAACAUUGCAG
Molecule: long non-coding RNA, 205 nt
Filed under: Oryza brachyantha (malo sina)
Lineage: Eukaryota; Viridiplantae; Streptophyta; Magnoliopsida; Poales; Poaceae
Description: long non-coding RNA (OBRA_LNC001328)
Source: RNAcentral